GUGUCAGCAGCCGCGGUAAUACGUAGGGUGCGAGCGUUGCCCGGAUUUAUUGGGCGUAAAGGGCGCGCAGGCGGCCACGCACGUCCGUUGUGAAAUCGCCCGGCUCAACUGGGCGGGGUCGGCGGAUACGGCGUGGCUGGAGCAAGCUAGGGGGUAGUGGAAUUCCCGGUGUAGUGGUGGAAUGCGUAGAUAUCGGGAGGAACACCAGUGGCGAAGGCGGCUACCUGGGGCUUUGCUGACGCUGAGGCGCGAAAGCGUGGGGAGCGAUCCGGAUUAGAUACCCGGGUAGUCCACGCCGUAAACGAUGCGGACUAGGUGUCGGGGGUAUCGACUCCUUCCGUGCCGCAGCUAACGCAUUAAGCGCCCCGCCUGGGGAGUACGGCCGCAAGGCUAAAAUUCAAAUGAAUUGACGG
This 413-nucleotide ribosomal RNA is filed under the name uncultured bacterium. RNAcentral's name for it is "bacterial SSU rRNA". It matches the Rfam family "Bacterial small subunit ribosomal RNA", at positions 505 to 916 of the family's 1533-position model. The record is from RNAcentral.